This 308-nucleotide ribosomal RNA is filed under the name uncultured bacterium. RNAcentral's name for it is "bacterial SSU rRNA". It matches the Rfam family "Bacterial small subunit ribosomal RNA", at positions 28 to 334 of the family's 1533-position model. The record is from RNAcentral.
GACGAACGCUGGCGGCGUGCCUAACACAUGCAAGUCGAACGGAAGUAAGAGCUUCGGUUUUUACUUUAGUGGCGAACGGGUGAGUAACGCGUGAGGAACCUGCCUUUCAGUGGGGGACAACAGUCGGAAACGACUGCUAAUACCGCAUGACGCUUCUUGGGGGCAUCCCUGAGAAGUCAAAGCUUUAUGUGCUGAAAGAUGGAUUCGCGUCUGAUUAGCUAGUUGGUGAGGUAACGGCUCACCAAGGCGACGAUCAGUAGCCGGUCUGAGAGGAUGAACGGCCACAUUGGGACUGAGAUACGGCCCAG